UGAACUAGAAAUGAGAGAGUGUCCUGAAUCAAGGACUAUGAUUAAUCUAAUUCUGUGUGCCUGAGGAUA
This 69-nucleotide small nucleolar RNA is filed under the name Choloepus hoffmanni (Hoffmann's two-fingered sloth). RNAcentral's name for it is "Small nucleolar RNA SNORD112 (ENSCHOG00000016039.1)". Lineage: Eukaryota; Metazoa; Chordata; Mammalia; Pilosa; Megalonychidae. The record is from RNAcentral.